Molecule: ribosomal RNA, 361 nt
Filed under: uncultured bacterium
Lineage: Bacteria
Description: bacterial SSU rRNA
Rfam family: Bacterial small subunit ribosomal RNA
Source: RNAcentral
GAUAAACGCUGGCGGCGCACAUAAGACAUGCAAGUCGAACGGAAGCCGUUUAAAUUUAAAUGAAGUGAUUUGAGGAUUUAUCCGAUUUGAAACGAUUUUAUUUUUAGACAUAUGACUUUAGUGGCGGACUGGUGAGUAACGCGUAAGCAAUCUGCCUAUCAGAGGGGAAUAACAGUGAGAAAUCAUUGCUAAUACCGCAUAUGCUCAAGUAUCACAUGGUACAAUGAGGAAAGGAGUAAUCCGCUGAUAGAUGAGCUUGCGUCUGAUUAGAUAGUUGGUGGGGUAACGGCCUACCAAGUCGAUGAUCAGUAGCCGGACUGAGAGGUUGAACGGCCACAUUGGGACUGAGAUACGGGCCCAG